CAAUAGCGUAUAUUUAAGUUGUUGCAGUUAAAAAGCUCGUAGUUGGAUUUCGGAUGGGACUUGCCGGUCCGUCGUUUCGAUGUGCACUGGCCAGUCCUAUCUUGUUGUCGGGGACUAGCUCCUGGGCUUCACUGUCCGGGACUAGGAGCUGACGAGGUUACUUUGAGUAGAUUAGAGUGUUCAAAGCAAGCCUACGCUCUGAAUACAUUAGCAUGGAAUAACACGAUAGGACUCUGGCUUAUCUUGUUGGUCUGUGAGACCAGAGUAAUGAUUAAGAGGGACAGUCGGGGGCAUUCGUAUUUCAUUGUCAGAGGUGAAAUUCUUGGAUUUAUGAAAGACGAACUUCUGCGAAAGCAUUUGUCAAGGAUGUUUUCAUUAA
Molecule: ribosomal RNA, 379 nt
Filed under: uncultured eukaryote
Lineage: Eukaryota
Description: partial 18S ribosomal RNA
Rfam family: Eukaryotic small subunit ribosomal RNA
Source: RNAcentral